Molecule: long non-coding RNA, 163 nt
Organism: Myripristis murdjan (pinecone soldierfish)
Lineage: Eukaryota; Metazoa; Chordata; Actinopteri; Holocentriformes; Holocentridae
Exons: 3
Source: RefSeq, a predicted model, not a curated record
UUUCUCUCGUGCUGCUGCUCUAUAAUAACAGGUCUGCUAAAAGUAGUCAGACCUGGAGUAACUACAAACCGGCCAGCCAGGCUCAAUUCAAAGCAAAACCCAGAAAAACAGCUUGUGGAGCAGUGGGACAAGAUCCACCUGGAGAAAAGGCGCCUCUCCUGCC